This 777-nucleotide long non-coding RNA is filed under the name Fukomys damarensis (Damara mole-rat). RNAcentral describes it as "lncRNA (ENSFDAG00000023070.1)". The record is from RNAcentral. Lineage: Eukaryota; Metazoa; Chordata; Mammalia; Rodentia; Bathyergidae.
CUUUUAUGUUAAUUUGAUUACAUUUCAGGAAAAUGUCAUCACUCUAAGAGUAGAAAUGUAGAACAUAUAUUUGUAGCAUUAUUAAACUAAUCUCCCCUAAGGUACUAGCUGUGACCAGUACAAAUAGCGGGCAUUGCUUUGUCUUUUCCAGAUAAUCAGGGUGCUAUUUCUUUUCUUGAAUAGGUAAGCUGCUAAUUACCCUUCCAUCGCUGGUCAGCUCCGGUACAGUUUCUUGCUGAUGAAGAGAAGGGUUGUUGUUAACCCUGUGGCCACCUCUGGAACAUUGCACAUUCAGAUUAUAAACUCUGUGCCUUGUUCACUAUGUGUUUCCCCAGUACCUGAAGUGCCCUGCACUGCUGGGUCCCAGUGCAUAGUUCUUGAAAAAAAACAAAGUGCAGCAAAUGGUAACUGGUGCACGAGUGCAUGAGAGGAUGGCUUGUGUCCCCAGCCACUGGAGCUGCUACUGAUUUGAUUAAUGUGGAAAUUCGCAUUACCUGCACAGGAAGGCAGAGCCAUAGAACAACUGCGGCCAGGAAUGAUCUGUCCAGUGACAGGGCUCUUCACUUUGAGAUGCAUGGGACAUCACUACAGGCAAAUCUCUGUGCUCAGGUUCCUAACAGGGCCAGCAACAGCUGAGACCUCAGAAUUACCGAGCAAGUUUAUGCACUUACUUGAAGAAAAGAAAAAGAAGAACAAGAACAUUUUAACUCUCAGGAACACAUGAGGCUGCUAUUAUAUAUAUAUAUUAAAGUUGAUGACCUAUCGAAUUUGAAAAAG